Molecule: long non-coding RNA, 2080 nt
Organism: Orcinus orca (killer whale)
Lineage: Eukaryota; Metazoa; Chordata; Mammalia; Artiodactyla; Delphinidae
Exons: 3
Source: RefSeq, a predicted model, not a curated record
ACUCCAAGUCAUCCUUCUGUAGGCUGAUCACAGUAAGAGCUCCAUUUUCUCCACGAGAGCCAAACUCAAAGUUAAUAUGAUUUUCUACCAGUUUCAACAUACUAAUUAAAUACCUGGCUUUAAUUUUUUGGAAGAAAGAAAGCAGAACCUUCAUUUCAGUCACAGAAAUAACCGUAUCUUUGGCUUGUAUUAAAGGCUGUUGGUCUCCCAAGCUCUGUUUGAAAUUCACAACAUGGGAAUUUACAGAAUUUUCAUAAAAGCAAUUGAAGUUCCAGUGUCUCCAUGAACUCCAGGGUGUGCUUCUAGGAACAAAAGAUGUUUUGCUUUGCUCACACCUGCUCGGCUCUCCAUGGGGGCUCAAGCAAUACACAUUCCAAUCGAGCAGCGUCAAUAAAAUCAAAUAAAAAUUAAGUUCCAGGGGACGGAAUGGAGAUAAACAACAUAAAGUCCAUUUGAAAAGGAGCUGAAUUAUUGGAACUGGUUUUCUAAGCAGAAAAUGGUUACAGAAAAAUAGAUUUUUCAACUGUAAAUCAUAUAGUUUUGACUUGGUGGAAUUCUCUUUCUGCAAUUCUAACACGUCUUCCUUCUGUUUCUCCCUCUGUGUGUGUGUGUGUGUGUGUGUGUGUGUGUGUGUGUGGGCGGGGGUGGUGAGGGAAGGGAAGAGAAGGGAACAGGGACGGAGAACAUUUGAAAGAGGUAGAAGAGGGAUUUCCCUGGUGGCGCAGGGGUUAAGAAUCCGCCUGCCAAUGCACGGGACACGGGUUCGAGCCCUGGUCUGGGAAGAUCCCACAUGCCCGUAUGUCACAACUACUGAGCCCGCGAGCCACAACCACUGAGCCGGCGUGCCACAACUACUGAGUGGGCCACAACUACUGAUGCCCGUGCGCCUAGAGCCCGUGCUCCACAAGAGAAGCCACCGCAAUGAGAAGCCCACGCACUGCAACGAAGAGUAGCCCCCGCUUGUCACAACUAGAGGAAGCCCGCGUGUAGCAACGAAGACCCAACGCAGCCAAAAAUAAAGAAAGAAAUAAAGAAAUUAAAGAAAAAGAAAGAAAGAGAUUAUGGUCUUAAGAAAAGAAAACUUACGUUUCCUUACUCAAAGUCCAUGAAAUCCCACUUGUCUUAAGAGGCCUUCUCUCUGUUGGGAAACAAGGUCCAUCCAUGUUGCAUUAUUUCAUUCUUCUUUAUGGCUGAGACACACACAGACUGAAAGUGAGGGGAUGGAAAAAGUUAUUCCAUGCAAAUGGAAAUCAAAAGAAAGCUGGAGUAGCAAUUCUCAUAUCAGACAAAAUAGACGUUCAAAUAAAGACUGUUACAAGAGACAAAGAAGGAUACUACAUAACGAUCAGGGGACCAAUCCAAGAAGAAGAUGUAACAAUUGUAAAUGUAUAUGCACCCAACAUAGGAGCACCUCAAUAUAAGGCAAGUGUUACUGAUUCUUCAUUCAUUCAUUCAUUCAAACGUCUUUCCUAAGCACUGCUGUGCACCAGGCUCUGUUAGAUGCUGGAGACAAGGCAGACACCGGCCCUCAAGAACCCUCCGUGAAGGGGCUCAUUGCCUUGUGGAGGGCAUUUUCUCCUGAAGAGGGUAGGGAAGGAUUCUGAGAUGUUGUCCAGGCUGGCACGGGGUCGAGGCACAGAGGUGCCAGGGAGCACGGCCAUGCCUGCCCCCCUCACGUUUCAGAGGGGUGUCUGCAAAGGAUAAACGCAACGUGCUGGCUCUGACUUGUAAUUGACUUGAUGACCAAGAGUUGAAAGCAUCGAAGUGUAGGAAGACCAUGCACAUCUGUCAGGAAUGUGGAGGGAAGGGAAAGUUUGCUUUGGACGGGGUUAGUGACUUCUCAACGUGUUAAGGUGACUUGACCUAAUUAGCUUGUUCUUUCACCUUGGUCUGGAACAGUCUUGGGAGUUUAAUCCUUCAGAGCAGCUGUUCUCAACAGAGGUGUCCCCAAUAAAUUGGAAUGAGUUUGGAGGGGCGCUAUAAUUUCUUACUAAAAUUACCAAAAGUGGGCAAAUGAAGCCACCAAAAUGUUUAAAGUGAAUAUAAUAAAAACUUGGAUACUUAAAAACAGCAACCCCCC